RNAcentral lists this ribosomal RNA (1770 nucleotides) under uncultured eukaryote. RNAcentral's name for it is "SSU rRNA". It matches the Rfam family "Eukaryotic small subunit ribosomal RNA". The record is from RNAcentral.
AACCUGGUUGAUCCUGCCAGUAGUCAUAUGCUUGUCUCAAAGAUUAAGCCAUGCAUGUCUCGGUAUAAAUUCUUGUACGGUGAAACUGCGAAUGGCUCAUUACAUCAGUUACAAUCUACACCCUGAUUAUUAUACGGAUACCUAGGGUAAUUCUCUUGCUAACACGUGCCUGAAGUCCUCUGGACGUCAUUGCUAGCUUGAGAUCAACUCACAAGUUCACUUGUGACCCUGGUGAUUCAUAGCAAUUUGAAUUUAUCGCUCUUCGCGAAGCAGGGUUCGAGUUUCUGACCUAUCAUGUUUGACGGUUGUGUAUUGGACCACCGUGCAGUUGACGGGUAACAGAGAAUUAGGGUUUGAUUCUGGAGAGGGUGCCUGAGAAACGGCAACCACAUCUAAGGAAGGCAGCAGGCACGCAAAUUACCCAAUCCUGACACAGAGAGGUAGUGACAAGAAAUAACAAUGUGGAGCAAUCUUUGUUCUGCAUUUGGGAUGAGUCGUAGUUAAAUCUCACGACGAUUAUCGAUUGGAGGGCAAGUCUGGUGCCAGCAGCCGCGGUAAUUCCAGCUCCAAGAGCGUAUAUUAAAGUUGCUGCGGUUAAAAAGCUCGUAGUUGGAUUUCAGUCUAGGAAGGUUAACUCGCCGAAAGGUUGUACGUUGAUUUUCCUCAGACUUCGUCAGAAGCUCGUGCUGCACUUAACUGUGUGGUACGAUGUUCUGACCUUUUACCUUGAGGAAAGUAGAGUGUUUCAGGCAGGCUACCCAGCUUGAAUACAUUAGCAUGGAAUAAUGAAAUGGAUCUCGGUUCGAUUUCGUUGGUUCUAGAGCUGAGGUGAUGAUCAAUAGGAACAGGCGAAGGUAUUCGUACUUGAGAGUGAGGAGUGAAAUCCGAUGAUCUCUUAAAGACGAUCCGAGGCGAAAGCAUUUGUCAAGGAUGUUUUCAUUGAUCAAGAACGAAAGUUAGGGGAUCGAAGACGAUUAGAUACCGUCCUAGUCCUAACCGUAAACAAUGCCGACUAGAGAUUAGACGCUGUCAGUGUUACGAUACGUCUAGCAUCUUCAGAGAAAUCAAAGUCUUUGGGCUCUGGGGGGAGUAUGGUCGCAAGGCUGAAACUUAAAGGAAUUGACGGAAGGACACCACCAGGAGUGGAGCCUGCGGCUUAAUUUGACUCAACACGAGAAAUCUUAUCAGGUCCACACAUUGGUAGGAUUGACAGUGUACGCUAGACCUUUCUUGAUUCUAUGGGCGGUGGUGCAUGGUCGUUCCUAGUUGGUGGAGUGAUGCGUCUAGUUAAUUCCGUUAACGAACGAGACCUUAACCUAUUAAUUAGUCCGACAUAGUUUCGGUUAUGUGGGGUCACUUCUUAGAGGGACUUUGCGGUUUUAUCGCAUGGAAGUGUGAGGCAAUGACAGAUCUGUGAUGCCCUUAGAUGGUCUGGGCGGCACGCGCGCUACAAUGAUGCAUUCAAAAAGUCUUCUGACCUUAGAAGGUUGGGUAUUCUCCAAAGUGCAUCGUGAUGGGAAUAGUUUAUUGCAAUUUUUAAUCUUGAACGAGGAAUUCCUAGUAAGUACAGGUCAUCAACUUGUGUUGAUUACGUCCCUGCCCUUUGUACACACCGCCCGUCGCUCCUACUGAUUGAGUGUCUCGGUGAAUUCUUUGAUCUUCUGUCGAUUCAGUUCACUGAUCCGACGGUGGAAAGUUGAAUGAACUUCGUCACUUAGAGGAAGGAGAAGUCGUAACAAGGUUUCCGUAGGUGAACCUGCAGAAGGAUCA